This 999-nucleotide ribosomal RNA is filed under the name Bacillus velezensis. RNAcentral describes it as "bacterial SSU rRNA". It matches the Rfam family "Bacterial small subunit ribosomal RNA", at positions 35 to 1020 of the family's 1533-position model. Lineage: Bacteria; Bacillati; Bacillota; Bacilli; Caryophanales; Bacillaceae. The record is from RNAcentral.
GCGGGGCCGGGGUGCUAUACAUGCAAGUCGAGCGGACAGAUGGGAGCUUGCUCCCUGAUGUUAGCGGCGGACGGGUGAGUAACACGUGGGUAACCUGCCUGUAAGACUGGGAUAACUCCGGGAAACCGGGGCUAAUACCGGAUGGUUGUCUGAACCGCAUGGUUCAGACAUAAAAGGUGGCUUCGGCUACCACUUACAGAUGGACCCGCGGCGCAUUAGCUAGUUGGUGAGGUAACGGCUCACCAAGGCGACGAUGCGUAGCCGACCUGAGAGGGUGAUCGGCCACACUGGGACUGAGACACGGCCCAGACUCCUACGGGAGGCAGCAGUAGGGAAUCUUCCGCAAUGGACGAAAGUCUGACGGAGCAACGCCGCGUGAGUGAUGAAGGUUUUCGGAUCGUAAAGCUCUGUUGUUAGGGAAGAACAAGUGCCGUUCAAAUAGGGCGGCACCUUGACGGUACCUAACCAGAAAGCCACGGCUAACUACGUGCCAGCAGCCGCGGUAAUACGUAGGUGGCAAGCGUUGUCCGGAAUUAUUGGGCGUAAAGGGCUCGCAGGCGGUUUCUUAAGUCUGAUGUGAAAGCCCCCGGCUCAACCGGGGAGGGUCAUUGGAAACUGGGGAACUUGAGUGCAGAAGAGGAGAGUGGAAUUCCACGUGUAGCGGUGAAAUGCGUAGAGAUGUGGAGGAACACCAGUGGCGAAGGCGACUCUCUGGUCUGUAACUGACGCUGAGGAGCGAAAGCGUGGGGAGCGAACAGGAUUAGAUACCCUGGUAGUCCACGCCGUAAACGAUGAGUGCUAAGUGUUAGGGGGUUUCCGCCCCUUAGUGCUGCAGCUAACGCAUUAAGCACUCCGCCUGGGGAGUACGGUCGCAAGACUGAAACUCAAAGGAAUUGACGGGGGCCCGCACAAGCGGUGGAACAUGUGGUUUAAUUCGAAGCAACGCGAAGAACCUUACCAGGUCUUGACUCCUCUGACAUCCUAAAGAAGGACGUCCCU